This 1174-nucleotide long non-coding RNA is filed under the name Marmota monax (woodchuck). Lineage: Eukaryota; Metazoa; Chordata; Mammalia; Rodentia; Sciuridae. The record is from RNAcentral.
AAGAGUGAGAUGGGGGGGUGCAGAAGAGACCCAAAACAGGUGAGUCCUAGAGAUGGGAAAGGCGAAGACUUAGGAGAUUCCGAGAGGGAGAAACUGAAAACAAGAUGCGCGAGCCUUCACAGUAUCGGAGAAUUGCCAAGCGCUGACCUGUUCAAGGCUCAGUCUAGGCCCACAGGGUAUGGUGGUGAGCUGACAAGGGCCUGCUCUCCCUGGGCUCCCAGGAGGCACGUGCAAUACACACUGAAGAGUGCUUCAGAAGUGAAGCAGGAUGACAGAUCAGGGCAACUAGAUAAGCUGCGUCAAGAGGUCCUGACUGCCAAGUAAUGUUUGAACAGAAAUGUGCAUUCUGAGAGGGCAGGGGAGGAGAGAAGGGCUUGGGACAGGAACCCUGGCCACCAAAGGUGGCAGAAGAAGCCUGAGUAAAACCAGACUUCCAAGGAGGCCUUUGUGAGCAGAAUAAACAAGGGCUAGUUGACUGGGUAAGAAGUCCAAAGUGCAGAGGGCAGCUCGGGCCUUGUAGCCUGGGAAGGAAUUUGAACUUUAUUCUGGGUUUGAUGAGAAGCCUUGGGGAGCUCUGAGCACAGGCAUGCUGGGAUCAUAUUUUUGUUUAAACAAAACAAUAGCAGAAUUGUGGUGUUGUGCUGGGAAUAGACUUGGGGGUCAAAAGCAGAAGCAGGGGUUGGGAUUUUUGGAGUUGAUGCCUACAGUGGUGGCAAGCUGGCUGUUCAGGGAGGUAAUGAAGCCCAGGGAAGGGGAGAGAGGAUUCUCCGGGUGGGCGCUGUGGCCAGGAAGGGGGAGGCAGGGUUUGGUGGUAGGAAUCCAGGGUUGUCGUAGGGAUGUGUCAGGUGGGGAUGCCUUUGGGAAGUAAGUCCAAGUCCGAGUAUGGAGCAACCAGUUGGAGACAUCAGACAGAGUGGUUAAAAGGUCGUGGCUGGAAAUACAAGUCUUGGAAACGUCAGCAGAUGAAGGCAUGGAAAGCCACAGAAUGGGAUGGUAACUUAGCAGCUGUGUGCAGGUAGAGUGACCCUGGCAAGAGUCUUGGGGGGACAUCUACACUGGGGGAGAAGAGCAGGUAGCAAAGGGAGCCAAGAAGGAGUGACCAGAGGCUGGCAGGAAGCAGGAGAGUCCUUGAGGGCCUAAGCACAAGCAUUUCAAGAGGAGGAGGAGGGGGCUG